UUUUUUUUUUUUUUUUUUUUCCAACUUAAAAAAUGAGAAAGGGGAAACCAAGACACGUUCCUAUGUUUUUAAAAAGUGAAAAUAAACAGAUCUUUAUUUCUUUUUUUUCUAAUUUCAUUUCUAAAAAUGACGUGCAGUUGAUUUUUGAGUAUUAUGAUAUCGGAUUGAUUGUUCUAACUAAAAUACACAACAUCCGAAACAAGUAUGAAGAAGAAAUGAAAGCAGAAACAGAUAACAAAUUAUCAGACAUAGAGGAUUAUAAUUCGAUUGAAGAAAAGGUAAAAGCAUUUUUUUUAAAUUAUAAAGUAAAAAAAGAGGUGGAAGCUACUAACGAAAUUAAAAAUAAACUAGGUGAUGAAAACAAAAAAAGCAAAAAAAGUUCAGUAUGUAACAAAAUAAAUAAAACGAAAUUAAAUAAAAAUAGUAACACGAAAGAAGCAUAUAAUAAUUCAUUGAUUAGUGAUUCCAAUUUAGAAGGAACUAAGUGCUCAAAUGAUAAUAAUAAGCAACAGAAUGUUGUAAAUGGUAUAAAGACACGCAACAGAAGGAAAAAAAAAACUAUCAAUAAUGGUGAUAAGAGUACUUCUACUAAUGGUAAUACAUACGGAGAUAACAAAAAUAACACAACAAUGCUUAACGAUAAUAAAAGCAAAAGUUGUGAUAAAAGUGACAUUUAUUUAAAUCGAGUAAAAAUAAAUGUAACUAAGGAUGGUGAUAGAACAAAACAAAUAGUAACAGAAGUGGAAAAAGAAGAUCAAUCAAAACAAAGAAACAUGGUUGAUAAUACUAAUAAAGCUAUUGUUGAUGACACACAACUAUUGCAAAAUAAAAAUAUUUUAAUUUGUCCUAAUUUUAUAGAUAAAGACGAAACAAGUAAUGUAAAUAAUAUAAAUAUACUUAACAAGAAAAAAAUAUAUAACUCAAAAAAAAACAAAUACCCAACUGAUAUGUUACAAAAUAGUGUAAAAAAAAAAAAUAAUAAUGUAAAAAAACAAGACGAACCAUUCAAAAUUAAAAAAAAAAAUGCUUCUAUUGACAAUAAACAACAAAGCAGUUGCAAAACGAACGAACAAACAAAUAAACAGAAAAAUAAAAAUUCCAUUAUGUUAAAAGAAUUUGAAUAUAAUAAUAACACUGAAAUAAAUAUAGAAAAACAAUAUAAUACUACAAAUAAUUUAAAAACUAAAGAACAUUCUCCAGAUGAUCUUUUAUUUUCUAUGGAAAAGAAAAAUGAAACAGAUAAAAAAUUUAGUAAAAGAGUAACAAAAAAAAAAAAAAAAAAUAAGACACAAGACUAUGACGAUGACCAACACCAAUGCUUUUAUAUUACUGAUUUAUGUAGAAAAGGUACUUUACUGUCAUUAAAAAAAAAUAAAAUUACAAACCAGACAAAAACCGAAUGCAGUGGUUUA
Molecule: long non-coding RNA, 1412 nt
Filed under: Piliocolobus tephrosceles (Ugandan red Colobus)
Lineage: Eukaryota; Metazoa; Chordata; Mammalia; Primates; Cercopithecidae
Description: lncRNA (ENSPTEG00000005044.1)
Source: RNAcentral